UGAAUUUGAGCAACACAAACAGAUGGGCAUGGAAGAGUUAAAUACUGACACUCAGCAAAGCAAAAAGGGGAUGAAGCUGCAGAUGUAAAGCUAAGUGAAUUCAGGAUUUAAGUCACAAAAUUAAGGGAAUAAAGUGGUUAAGGGCUCAUGUGUAGACCCUGCUCAUGCUUGGAAGAUUGGAUGUGACAGAGAGGAGAACGGG
Balaenoptera ricei (Rice's whale) is the source of this 202-nucleotide long non-coding RNA. RefSeq lists it as uncharacterized. The record is from RefSeq and is a predicted model, not a curated record. The transcript is spliced from 3 exons. Lineage: Eukaryota; Metazoa; Chordata; Mammalia; Artiodactyla; Balaenopteridae.